RNAcentral lists this ribosomal RNA (230 nucleotides) under uncultured bacterium. RNAcentral's name for it is "partial 16S ribosomal RNA". It matches the Rfam family "Bacterial small subunit ribosomal RNA", at positions 99 to 334 of the family's 1533-position model. The record is from RNAcentral.
CGGACGGGUGAGUAAUGUCUGGGAAACUGCCCGAUGGAGGGGGAUAACUACUGGAAACGGUAGCUAAUACCGCAUAACGUCGCAAGACCAAAGAGGGGGACCUUCGGGCCUCUUGCCAUCGGAUGUGCCCAGAUGGGAUUAGCUAGUAGGUGGAGGUACGCUACCUAGGCGACGAUCCCUAGCUGGUCUGAGAGGAUGACCAGCCACACUGGAACUGAGACACGGUCCAG